UACAGAGGUCCCGAGCGUUGUUCGGAUUCACUGGGCGUAAAGGGUGCGUAGGUGGCGAGGUAAGUUUGAUGUGAAAUCUCCGGGCUUAACCCGGAAACUGCAUUGAAUACUAUCUUGCUAGAGGGUUGGAGGGGGGACUGGAAUUCUCGGUGUAGCAGUGAAAUGCGUAGAUAUCGAGAGGAACACCAGUGGCGAAGGCGAGUCCCUGGACAACUCCUGACACUGAGGCACGAAAGCUAGGGGAGCAAACAGG
This 253-nucleotide ribosomal RNA is filed under the name uncultured bacterium. RNAcentral's name for it is "partial 16S ribosomal RNA". It matches the Rfam family "Bacterial small subunit ribosomal RNA", at positions 524 to 776 of the family's 1533-position model. The record is from RNAcentral.